UUGCGGCUAUGGCAGUAGCCAGAGCUCCCAAUCGUCUUACGGGCAGCAGUCCUCCUACCCUGGUUAUGGCCAGCAGCCAGCUCCCAGCAGCACCUUGGGAAGUUACGGUAGCAGUUCUCAGAGCAGCAGCUAUGGGCAGCCCCAGAGUGGGAGCUACAGCCAGCAGCCUAGCUAUGGUGGACAGCAGCAAAGCUAUGGACAGCAGCAAAGCUAUAAUCCCCCUCAGGGCUAUGGACAGCAGAACCAGUACAACAGCAGCAGUGGUGGCGGAGGUGGAGGUAACUAUGGCCAAGAUCAAUCCUCCAUGAGUAGUGGUGGUGGCAGUGGUGGCGGUUAUGGCAGUCAAGACCAGAGUGGUGGAGGUGGCAGCGGUGGCUACGGACAGCAGGACCGUGGAGGCCGCGGCAGGGGUGGCAGUGGUGGUGGCGGCGGCGGCGGCGGCGGCGGUGGUGGUUACAACCGCAGCAGUGGUGGCUAUGAACCCAGAGGUCGUGGAGGUGGCCGUGGAGGCAGAGGUGGCAUGGGGUAGGUGUCUCACGAGCCAGGGAGUAUCUUUGGUGGGGAGUGUGGAGGAUUGCAUGAAUCUCCCUGAAGCCAGUCCCUAGUGCAUGGUUUAGUAUUCUUGUUGUCUAGGGAUCUGUGAGGGCUUUGAUUUGGGGGCAGUGACUUUCUUUUUACAUCCCCAUUUUAUUUUUGUGAGAACUUGGGAUCCUGAACUCCCAUCCAUACCACUGAAUAGAGAUUUUGAGUAAUGAUACUUGUUUCCAAAAAAAAAAAAGAAACCAUACAUAGAUACGUAUGGAUUGGAGUCAUUAAUAUCCUAGGCAAGAAACAUGGAAGUGAAGACUUCUUUCUCUGCAAGGGAAACCGAUGAUCCCACUCCUGGGAAAUAGUAGGGAAACUUGGUAUGUGUAUUCCCAUGUGUCCUCUAGGGAGUUGGUAAUGGUUAACCUGACUUCAGCUUCCAGGAAUUGGCUACUCUUCCCGUUUUCUAUAGUCAUUUGAAUCCACGAGCUUGAUUUGCACUAAUUUGACCGACAUUGAUUUUGUGUGUGACUUGGUUUAUGGGGCCAGCUGACUGAAGUAAGCAGACCUUUUGGGCAAAAAUAUGCUUUGACAGUGGUCUCCCACCUAUUUGUUCCACUGUCUGCCUUCCCCUGGUUACUUAAAAUUCAUCAGCUUGUCCAACUGGACCUUCUUUCCUUCCUGCUGAAGUUGAUUUGAAGUAAAACCUUAGAUUUGAUGUUAAAACAGUUGUCAAAUCUGUUGGUAAAUAAGAUUUGAAGGACCCUACUCUGUCUCCCAUGAAAAAGGGGAGGAAUGUCAGUGUUACUGUUUUUGGAAAAAGUAGAUUUUUAAACCGAGUUUGGAAAUGGUAAGUAUGCAGAGGUGGGUGGGGGCAAUCUCAAAAACGUGCAAAAAUGAGGAAAACAAAAAUGAGGAAAUGUGUGCGUGUGUUUAAUGCAAAACUUUAAAAAGAAAAACAACUGUUAUGUGACUGUUAACUUGCUCUGCAUUUUAUGUGCCACAGGUAUGAAAGGUGACAUUGCAAAAUACUCCGCUCUUCUCGCAGUGUAGAAGGGGUGACCCCGGGGGUUGGGGGAGAUCAAAAACAGCUCAGUAGUUAGGACAGAGCUUAGCUAAGUUUGUCUUGCUUUAAGGGGAAGUUGCCUUUGGUUUUGACUUUUUAUGGAAUGGGGUUGGGUCUGCUUGCUGCUUUCAAAGCAAAAACCACAAAAAUGUGUUCAAGGCUACCCCAGCCUGGUGUGAAAUGUCUUCUGGGUAAAUUGGGGUAGGGUUUUUAAACCAACUACUUGGUUGUCAACCACUUGCGACAAGAGGAAAAAAAAACAUCUGCUCCAUCGGAAGAACGACCAAGGAAAAUGGGUUAUUUUUUUUCCAGAGGAAAUAGAUACGUAACCUUUUAAAGCAAAAUCUUUAUAAACUGUGUCUGAGAAAUUGCACACGUGUGUGUGACAUGCUCAAAGGUCAGACAAGGGGUGGUCAGGAAGGGAUGUAUUUUAGUAGCCACUUGUAUCUUUUUCCAAAAACACCUACCCGUGUUUGGGGAAUGUUAAACAAAAUCAAAAAACAACCUUUUGUAGCCGUUGGAAGCUUCAUGUCCUUUCUUCUAACUUGUCUUCUCCAGCGGAAGUGACCGUGGUGGCUUCAAUAAAUUUGGUGGCCCUCGGGACCAAGGAUCACGUCAUGACUCCGAACAGGAUAAUUCAGACAACAACACCAUCUUUGUGCAAGGCCUGGGUGAGAAUGUUACAAUUGAGUCUGUGGCUGAUUACUUCAAGCAGAUUGGUAUUAUUAAGACAAACAAGAAAACGGGACAGCCCAUGAUUAAUUUGUACACAGACAGGGAAACUGGCAAGCUGAAGGGAGAGGCAACGGUCUCUUUUGAUGACCCACCUUCCGCUAAAGCAGCUAUUGACUGGUUUGAUGGUAAAGAAUUUUCCGGAAAUCCUAUCAAGGUCUCAUUUGCUACUCGCCGGGCAGACUUUAAUCGGGGUGGUGGCAAUGGUCGUGGAGGCCGAGGGCGAGGAGGACCCAUGGGCCGUGGAGGCUAUGGAGGUGGUGGCAGUGGUGGUGGUGGCCGAGGAGGAUUUCCCAGUGGAGGUGGUGGCGGUGGAGGACAGCAGCGAGCUGGUGACUGGAAGUGUCCUAAUCCCACCUGUGAGAAUAUGAACUUCUCUUGGAGGAAUGAAUGCAACCAGUGUAAGGCCCCUAAACCAGAUGGCCCAGGAGGGGGACCAGGUGGCUCUCACAUGGGGGGUAACUACGGGGAUGAUCGUCGUGGUGGCAGAGGAGGCUAUGAUCGAGGCGGCUACCGGGGCCGCGGCGGGGACCGUGGAGGCUUCCGAGGGGGCCGGGGUGGUGGGGACAGAGGUGGCUUUGGCCCUGGCAAGAUGGAUUCCAGGGGUGAGCACAGACAGGAUCGCAGGGAGAGGCCGUAUUAAUUAGCCUGGCUCCCCAGGUUCUGGAACAGCUUUUUGUCCUGUACCCAGUGUUACCCUCGUUAUUUUGUAACCUUCCAAUUCCUGAUCACCCAAGGGUUUUUUUUGUGUCGGACUAUGUAAUUGUAACUAUACCUCUGGUUCCCAUUAAAAGUGACCAUUUUAGUUAAAUUUUGUUCCUCUUCCCCCUUUUCACUUUCCUGGAAGAUCGAUGUCCCGAUCAGGAAGGUGGAGAGUUUUCCUGUUCAGAUUACCCUGCCCAGCAGGAACUGGAAUACAGUGUUCGGGGAGAAGGCCAAAUGAUAUCCUUGAGAGCAGAGAUUAAACUUUUCUGUCACGGGGAAAGUUGGUGUAUAAAUGAGAAAUGAAG
This 3333-nucleotide long non-coding RNA is filed under the name Pan troglodytes (chimpanzee). Its description in RNAcentral is "long non-coding RNA NONPTRT006006". Lineage: Eukaryota; Metazoa; Chordata; Mammalia; Primates; Hominidae. The record is from RNAcentral.